Molecule: ribosomal RNA, 272 nt
Filed under: uncultured prokaryote
Description: partial 16S ribosomal RNA
Rfam family: Bacterial small subunit ribosomal RNA
Source: RNAcentral
AACGUAGGAGGCGAGCGUUAUCCGGAUUUACUGGGUGUAAAGCGCGUGUAGGCGGUCCUGCAAGUGGCGCGUGAAAGCGCCCGGCUCAACCGGGCGAGGACGUGACCGAACUGCGGGGCUAGAGGCAGGUAGAGGCGUGUGGAAUUCCGGGUGUAGUGGUGAAAUGCGUAGAGAUCCGGAGGAACACCAGUGGCGAAGGCGACACGCUGGGCCUGACCUGACGCUGAGAGGCGAAAGCAUGGGGAGCGAACGGGAUUAGAUACCCCUGUAGU